Molecule: ribosomal RNA, 253 nt
Filed under: uncultured bacterium
Lineage: Bacteria
Description: partial 16S ribosomal RNA
Rfam family: Bacterial small subunit ribosomal RNA
Source: RNAcentral
GACGUAGGGCGCGAGCGUUGUCCGGAUUUAUUGGGCGUAAAGAGCUCGUAGGCGGUUUGUUGCGUCGGCUGUGAAAACCUGAGGCUCAACCUCAGGCCUGCAGUCGAUACGAGCAGACUAGAGUGUUGCAGGGGAGACUGGAAUUCCUGGUGUAGCGGUGAAAUGCGCAGAUAUCAGGAGGAACACCGGUGGCGAAGGCGGGUCUCUGGGCCGAUACUGACGCUGAGGAGCGAAAGCGUGGGGAGCGAACAGG